UUCCAAUCAAUAGCAAUGGCCCACAAAAACAAAGUCUUCCAGAAAAAAUUCCUAAACUCUUCCAAGGAACGUUCAUGGUCCUCAAAGAGUCUCUCGUUUCUUUCAUUCCAAAUACACCAGAAAAUACAUAUAGGAACCAUCUUCCACACGGCUGCAAUCUGUAGUGUCCCUGUGAUCCCUCUCCAGCUUGCUAACAAAUCAACCACCCUACCCGGCAUCACCCAUGCUAUACCCAUUCUACUAAGAAAAUAAGUCCAAAUAUCUUGGGCAAACUCACAAUGUAGUAGUAAAUGGUCCACCGAUUCACCACUAUUUCUGCACAAACAACACCAGUUCGUAAUAAUAAGGCCGCGUCUUCUAAGAUUCUCAAUGGUCAAGAUCUUCCCUAGAGCUGCCGUCCAGACAAAAAAUGCAGCCUUUGUAGGUGCUUUAGUCCUCCAUAUAUUCUUCCAAGGAAAAUUGUCCCUUUGAUGCAUAGUAAUAGAGUCAUAAAAAGAGCAUACUGAGAAUUUCCCUUUUCUAGAAUGUCGCCAUUCCAUCAUAUCUUCCAUUGUGACAGCAACAGGGAUGUUGUACAGCAAAUUCAGAAAUUCCAUCAGCACCGUCACUUCCCAGUCAUGUGCAUCUCGAGUAAGGCUGAUGUUCCACUCCUGUGAACCUUGAUUAAUAACCCGCAAAUCUGCCACCAUAGCUUCCUUUUCCCGUGCAAUUCUAAAAAUCAUAGGAUAAGCAUCCUUCAAGGCCGUGUCUCUCAACCACACAUCUUGCCAGAAAUUAAUCCUACUACCAUCUCCCAAACGUAGCCGAGUAUUACUAACAAAGGAGCACCAACCUUUUCGUAUAUACUUCCAUAGCCCCACACCAUACGUCCCCCUCCCUUCUUUAGAGCACCAACCCCCCCUUUCCCUACCAUACUUCAUAUCAACCACCCCUUUCCAUAAAGUUCCCCUCUCAUGGUUGUAACGCCACAACCAUUUACCUAAUAGUGCCUUAUUGAACGCCCUCACAUUUCGAACCCCCAAUCCACCAUCUCUCAAAGGAGAGCAUACCUGAUCCCAUCCUACUAAGUGAAACUUAAACUCCUCUCCUAGCCCACUCCACAAAAAAUCACGUUGGAUCUUCUCUAUUCUAGAAGCAAUACUAGCGGGUAGGGGAAAUAAAGAUAAGUAAUAUGUGGGGAGAUUGGAUAAGGUACUCUUGAUGAGUGUGAUUUUCCCCCCUUUAGAAAGAUACAGCCUCUUCCACCCGGCCAACCUACGCUCAAAUUUUUCCAGCACCACCUCCCAAAUACUUUUAGCUUUGAAAGAAGCCCCCAAAGACUAGACUUCCAAGGUUAUGCUCUGAUCAUUUUCCUAUAUUGUUAGACUGCGGUGGGGUGCAAGGGGGUAGAAGGACAUUCAAGUUUGAGAAUAUGUGGUUAAAGAUGGAGGGUUUUGUGGAAUUAGUCAAGCAAUGGUGGAAUUCAUAUCUUAUUGAAGGUAAUCCGAGUUAUGUAUUGGCUGGAAAGUUGAAAGCAUUGAAGAAGGAUCUAAAGUCUUGGAAUGAACAGGUAGUUGGUAAUGUAAGCUUGCAAAAGAAGAGUUUAUUCCAGGAGCUACAAGGCUUGGAAGAAGUAAGGGAUGAAAAUAACAGAAAAGUUCAAGUGGUAGCUGAUUUAGAAAGAUUGACUUUAAUGGAGGAGAUUUCUUGGAGACAAAAGUCAAGGGCUUUGUGGCUUCGUGAGGGGGAUAAAAGCACAAAGUUCUUUCACCGUAUUGCCAAUGCUCAUAGGAGGUUUAACUCUAUUGAGUCUUUGAACAUAGAUGGAAAUGCUUCCUCAGAUCAGGCGGAGAUAAAGGAGCAUGUGGUUGGGCAUUUUGAACAUUUGUUGUCAGAACCUCAUUCGUGGAGGCCUUCAGUAGACGGACUAGCCUUUGAGGUCAUCGAUCAAAAUAGUAUGGCUUGGGUGGAGAGACCAUUCGAAGAGGAAGAGGUACAUCAAGUAAUUAAGAAGAUGAAUAAAGACAAAGCUCCAGGCCCAGAUGGUUUCACUAUGGCUUUUUUUCAGAAAUGUUGGGAGGUGGUGCGUGAGGAUGUAAUGCUGGUUUUCCAGGAAUUCUUCACUUUUAGUAGAUUUGAGAAAAGCUUAAAUGCCACAUUCAUUGCAUUAGUCCCUAAAAAGGCAGGUGCAAGAGAGGUACAAGAUUUCAGACCGAUUAGUCUCGUGGGCAGCGUGUAUAAGAUACUAGCCAAAGUGCUGGCCAAUAGGAUGAGCAUGGUCAUGGAGAAGAUUAUCUCCAAGUCCCAAAAUGCCUUUGUGAGAGGGAGGCAAAUUUUGGACUCGGUUCUUAUAGCUAAUGAAUGUUUGGAUAGUAGGAUCAAGUCGGGAACUCCAGGUAUUUUAUGCAAACUUGAUAUGGAGAAGGCCUAUGAUCAUGUUAAUUGGGAUUUUCUGAUAUAUAUGCUGAGUAGAUGCGGGUUCGGGGAAAAAUGGAGGAAGUGGAUGAAGUAUUGUGUGUCAACGGCUCGUUUCUCGGUUUUGGUUAAUGGUGAUCCAGUGGGCUUUUUUAAUAGCUCACGGGGUCUAAGACAAGGUGACCCACUAUCACCCCUUUUAUUUGUCUUAGUAAUGGAGGCUCUAAGUCGCAUGGUAAUAGCGGCAGUAGAAGGGGGAUUCUUUUCAGGGUUCUCGGUGGGAGAUAUUCAUGGCUCAACCAUUAUUUCUCACCUUUUGUUUGCAGAUGACACUUUGUUAUUUUGUGAGGCAAAUGCAGGACAUAUCAAAUCUUUGAAGGCCAUUUUACUUUGUUUUGAAGCGGUAUCUGGUUUGAAGAUUAAUUUGGCCAAGACGGAGAUGGUUGCCGUUGGCAAUGUUAGCCAAACUGUAAUUCAAUUUCGAAGCCUAGAUUCUUAUUCAUUUUUGUUAAACUUACUAAUCUUAUCUUGAUAGCAUUUUGGUUUUUGGUUAUUUACUUGAUACUAGUCAAUAUUAUUAUAAAUUGUGUGGUUGUGUGGCUGAUGUGUGAAAUUUUUUUUGGAUGCACUUGACACGAGCUUUUUUUUGGAUGAGACACUUGGGAGGAGCACUGCUUUCCUACUUUCUUCUGCCUGUUUACCUUUCCUCUGUUACUGUUGGAGGAUCCCCAAACAGUCCUGAAGAGUUUUGCUUAGAGGAUUGCUUGAGAAUAGCUUUAUAUG
Molecule: RNA transcript, 3177 nt
Organism: Juglans regia (Persian walnut)
Lineage: Eukaryota; Viridiplantae; Streptophyta; Magnoliopsida; Fagales; Juglandaceae
Gene name: tRNA-specific adenosine deaminase TAD1
Exons: 2
Source: RefSeq, a predicted model, not a curated record